AGUGAACGCUGGCGGUAGGCCUAACACAUGCAAGUCGAACGGCAGCACAGUAAGAGCUUGCUCUUACGGGUGGCGAGUGGCGGACGGGUGAGGAAUACAUCGGAAUCUACUUUUUCGUGGGGGAUAACGUAGGGAAACUUACGCUAAUACCGCAUACGACCUACGGGUGAAAGCAGGGGAUCUUCGGACCUUGCGCGAUUGAAUGAGCCGAUGUCGGAUUAGCUAGUUGGCGGGGUAAAGGCCCACCAAGGCGACGAUCCGUAGCUGGUCUGAGAGGAUGAUCCGCCACACUGGAACUGAGACACGGUCCAGACUCCUACGGGAGGCAGCAGUGGGGAAUAUUGGACGAAGGGCGCAAGCCUGAUCCAGCCAUACCGCGUGGGUGAAGAAGGCCUUCGGGUUGUAAAGCCCUUUUGUUGGGAAAGAAAAGCAGCAGGUUAAUACCCCGCUGUUCUGACGGUACCCAAAGAAUAAGCACCGGCUAACUUCGUG
Molecule: ribosomal RNA, 492 nt
Filed under: uncultured bacterium
Lineage: Bacteria
Description: partial 16S ribosomal RNA
Rfam family: Bacterial small subunit ribosomal RNA
Source: RNAcentral